UACGUAGGCAGCAAGCGUUGUUCGGAGUUACUGGGCGUAAAGAGUGCGUAGGCGGCGCGGUAAGUCGGGUGUGAAAUCUCGGGGCUUAACUCCGAAACUGCAUUCGAUACUGCCGUGCUUGAGGACUGGAGAGGAGACUGGAAUUUACGGUGUAGCGGUGAAAUGCGUAGAUAUCGUAAGGAAGACCAGUGGCGAAGGCGGGUCUCUGGACAGUUCCUGACGCUGAGGCACGAAGGCCAGGGGAGCAAACGGG
This 253-nucleotide ribosomal RNA is filed under the name uncultured bacterium. RNAcentral describes it as "partial 16S ribosomal RNA". It matches the Rfam family "Bacterial small subunit ribosomal RNA", at positions 524 to 776 of the family's 1533-position model. The record is from RNAcentral.